UCGGGAUGCAGCAGUGAGGAAUAUUGGUCAAUGGAGGCAACUCUGAACCAGCCAUGCCGCGUGAAGGAUGAAGGUCCUCUGGAUUGUAAACUUCUUUUAUAGAAGAAGAAACCCCGUUUUUCUAAAUGGGUUGACGGUACUCUAUGAAUAAGCACCGGCUAACUCCGUGCCAGCAGCCGCGGUAAUACGGAGGGUGCAAGCGUUAUCCGGAUUCACUGGGUUUAAAGGGAGCGUAGGUGGGCUUGUAAGUCAGUGGUGAAAUCUCCGAGCUUAACUUGGAAACUGCCAUUGAUACUACUAGUCUUGAAUUCUGUGGAGGUAAGCGGAAUAUAUCAUGUAGCGGUGAAAUGCUUAGAUAUGAUAUAGAACACCGAUAGCGAAGGCAGCUUACUACGCAGAUAUUGACACUGAGGCUCGAAAGCGUGGGGAUCAAA
RNAcentral lists this ribosomal RNA (434 nucleotides) under Bacteroidetes bacterium SCGC AAA487-F20. RNAcentral's name for it is "bacterial SSU rRNA". It matches the Rfam family "Bacterial small subunit ribosomal RNA", at positions 341 to 772 of the family's 1533-position model. Lineage: Bacteria; Pseudomonadati; Bacteroidota. The record is from RNAcentral.